This is a small nucleolar RNA of Apodemus sylvaticus (European woodmouse), 141 nucleotides long. RefSeq annotates it as small nucleolar RNA SNORA48. The transcript has a single exon. NCBI's taxonomy places the organism in Eukaryota, Metazoa, Chordata, Mammalia, Rodentia, Muridae. The record is from RefSeq and is a predicted model, not a curated record.
UCCCCCUGGCGAUAAGCAAAGAGACACACUGUUGGUGGUGUUCUUCUAUCAGUCAGAGGCAGGGCAGGCAGCAGUCCUUUGUUCAUCCUAGCUUAAUGCCUGGCUUGGUGGCCAAUGCUGUUUUAUCCCUAGGACACAUAA